Molecule: ribosomal RNA, 366 nt
Filed under: Triticum aestivum (bread wheat)
Lineage: Eukaryota; Viridiplantae; Streptophyta; Magnoliopsida; Poales; Poaceae
Description: partial small subunit ribosomal RNA
Source: RNAcentral
ACGCUCAGCCAGCUCAUCAAUAACCUAGGUGGCCAGCUGGUGGAAAUCCUCCCUCCUGACGAUCGUUGGCAGAUGGAUGUCACCGCUUGGAUGCGCAAUCCAUCUAGCAUCCCCAAGAUGUACGAUUUCGAGGUACCUGAGCCCGCGGGGUUGCCGAACUCCUUCAACCAGGAAUACACACUUUCCCCGCCACCACCAGCGCCACCGACAGAGAGGCUCACCCUUGUCCACCCGCUCAUGAUUCACGUCCUGGAUGUGGUGGAUCGCACGGUGGCGUUCAUGGAAUUACGCCCAAACUUUGAACCGGAAAAUGACGAGGAUCUCACCAGGCGACAUGACCUCUCGCGCUUCUGCUUCAGGGGGUGA